UGUGUAUGGUGGGGCUCGUGAUGGGA
RNAcentral lists this non-coding RNA (26 nucleotides) under Rattus norvegicus (Norway rat). Lineage: Eukaryota; Metazoa; Chordata; Mammalia; Rodentia; Muridae. The record is from RNAcentral.